Small nucleolar RNA from Pelodiscus sinensis (Chinese soft-shelled turtle), 133 nucleotides. Its record names the gene SNORA70. It matches the Rfam family "Small nucleolar RNA SNORA70". Rfam says of the family: snoRNA U70 seems to be exclusive to mammals and is a member of the H/ACA class of snoRNA which contain H (ANANNA) and ACA box motifs. H/ACA box snoRNAs are involved in the conversion of uridines to pseudouridines (5-ribosyluracil) a constituent of structural RNAs (transfer, ribosomal, small nuclear, and small nucleolar). The record is from Ensembl. Lineage: Eukaryota; Metazoa; Chordata; Testudines; Trionychidae.
CUGCAGCCAGUUAAGCCGACCAGCCUGCCUGCAGUGGAGGCCUGGUGUGCAAUGGCUGCGCACAGCACCCCCCCUGGUUGUGUACGUGCUCCAUGAACCAUCUGGUGCACCUUAAGGGACCUCGGGGACACCA